Molecule: ribosomal RNA, 1353 nt
Filed under: Urodontellus sp. NLG-2014
Lineage: Eukaryota; Metazoa; Arthropoda; Insecta; Coleoptera; Anthribidae
Description: partial 16S ribosomal RNA
Rfam family: Bacterial large subunit ribosomal RNA (bases 1046-1246)
Source: RNAcentral
UUCUUAAAAAUCAAAUAAUUUGGCGGUAUUUUAGUCUUAUCAGAGGAACCUGUCCUAUAAUCGAUAAUCCACGAAUUUAACAACUUAUUUUAUAGUUUACAUAUCGUUGUAUUAAAUAUUUUUUUAGAAUAGAAAUAUUUGAGAUUUUUGAUUUAAAAAUUAAUCAAAUCAAGGUGUAGUUUAUAUUUAAGGAGAGAUGGGUUACAUUGAAUUUAUCAAUAUGGAAAUUUAUAUUUAAAAUAGAUUGAAGGUGGAUUUGAAGGUAAUUUUAUUUUAUAUUUUUAAAAUGGUUAAGCUCUGAAAUAUGCACAUAUCGCCCGUCGCUUUCAUUUUAAGGUGAAAUAAGUCGUAACAAAGUAGGCCUACUGGAAAGUAGGCCUAGAUCAAAUUAGAGCUUUAAAAGCAUUUUAGUUACAUUAAAAAGAGAUUGUUUAUUCAAUUAGUUUGAAUAUAGAUUAUUAUUUUAAGUUUAGAUUUUUAUUUUUGAAAAAAGAAAAUUUAUGUUUUAGUAAAGUAGAAAAAAUUUUAUUUUAUUAUAGUUGAAAGUAUUGUGAAAGAAUUUUUUUAAUAUUAAAAAGAUGAAAAUUUUUGUACCUGGGUAUCAGGGUUUACUAAGUAAAAUUUAAUAAUUUAAUUUUCCCGAAUUUAAAAGAGCUAAUUUUUUAUAUAUUUUAUUGUGAAAUAAAUAUUUAAAAUAAAUUAUUAGAAAUGAAAACGUUAGUCGUUUUUGAAGAUAUCUGGUUAUUUAAGAAAAAAAUUUAAUUUUUAUACUGAAAAAUAAAAGUUUAAUUUUUUAUUAUUUUGUUUUCAGUAGAAAGUAUUUUUAGGGAUGAGCUUAAAAAUAAAUUUUAAUAAAUUAAUAAUUGAAAUUUUUUUAUAGGAUUAAAAUUUUCCAUUAAAGAAAGUUUGUUAUAAAUUGAAAUUAUAAGAAUAAGAUUUAUAUUAGUUUUUAAUUUUUUAUUAAAUUAAAGUCUAUAAUUUUUUUAGAAAGGAGAUAAUGGUAGAAUUAGUAAAUUUAAAUUUAAAUUUAAUUAAAAUUGUUAGUUAAGUUGAAGGAACUCGGCAAUUAAGUUUUUCACCUGUUUAUUAAAAACAUGGCUUUUUGUAUAUGAUUAAAAGUCAAACCUGCCCCCUGAGGUAUUAAAUGGCUGCGGUAAUUUGACCGUACUAAGGUAGCAUGAUAAUUAGUUUUUUAAUUGAAAGCUUGUAUGAACGGUAUAAUGAGAAAACGACUGUCUCUAAUUUAUUUUUAUUGAAUUUUAUUAUUAAGUAAAAAGGCUUAAAUAUUAUUAAAAGACGAGAAGACCCUGUAGAGUUUUAUAAAUAUAGAUUGUUUAAUAAAUUGGAAUAAUU